UAUAAGAAUCUAAAUUAAGGAAUAAAUAUACGUGUUGCUAUGUGGUGUGUCUGCAUUGGUGGAUCUUAAUUUAACCCGAUCCAUAUAAAAUAUGGAUUGAGAUUUAUCUUAAUAACAGAAUUACCGUGUUUGGUUCAUCCGGCAUGUAAUCGGGUAGUUAAUAUAGCAUUACAAAUAGUAUAGGAUUACACCAAAAAUAUUAACGAGAUGGGAAUGUGUAUCUUGCAUUACUGAAACACAGUAAUACUUCAUAUUGUGUAAAAUAAUAAUUUUACCCUCUAACUCCCGAAACCUUUUCAAUACGUCAUUUUAAAAAAUUUAAUUUAAAAUUUUGAAUUGACAACUUUUAAAUUUUAAAAUUUGAAUUUUAAUUUUGAAUUUUGAAUUUUGAAUUUUGAAUUUUGAAUUUUGAAUUUUGAAUUUUUUAAANACAUCUGAGAAUGCAAGAAAAAACGAAGGAUGAAAGCAUAUAGGGAAAGGGAAAAAAAAAAUUACAUAGAAUCUUUAAAAAAAGGGCCUCAUUAGAGAGUUCUAUGGGAAAUCAAUGCUUUUAAGAAAGAUGAAAAGUUCCAUAGUAAAUUAGCAUGUAAAAAAAAUCAUGAAAUCAAGCGAAGUAAAAAAAAUAUGUGUUAGACUUAGAAAAAUCAUGUAAAAAAUCAUGUAAAAAAAUCAUGUAGGAGACUUAGAAGCAUGUAAAUCAACAUUUAACUGGACCUUUUUUUAACCUGUAUGAUGCAUGUAAAAAAUCAGCAUUUAACUGUAUUUUAAAAAAUCAGCAAUUUAACUGGACUUUUUUUUAUAGAGGCCCCCCCCUCUAAAAAAUGCUUAUUUUAAUUGGACCUUUGCUGAUUGUGAAAAAAGACUGAUUUUUACAACAUUUUAACUGUACUGUAAAAACAGCAUUUUUUAGCAAUGCUGAUCUAUUUCGGCAUUCUAAAAAAUGCUAAUUGCAAAAAUGCUAAUUGCAAAAAAUGCUUUAUAUCAGAUCAGCAAUGCUGAUUGUAAAAAAAAUGCUGAUUUAGCAUUGCUGAUCUAAAUCAGCAAAGCUGAUCAAGCAUUGCUAAUCUAAAAAAAAUGCUGAUUUAGAUAAAAGUUCUGAUUUAGCAUUGCCGAUCUAAAUCAGCAUUCUAAAAAAUGCUAAUUGUAAAGAAAAAAAUCAGCAUUUUAACAAAGGCUGAUUUUGUUAAAUGAUGAUUUUAACUGGACCUUUUUUUAGAGAGGGCCUAAAAUAUGUUGAUUUAAAAAAUACUGAUUUUGACUGUUCAGGUAAAAAAAGGUCCAGUUAAAAAUCAGCAUGAACAAACCAGCAUUUAACUGGACCUUUUUUUUACCUGUAUUCUAAGUCUCACACAUGUAAAUCAGCCAUAUGCAAGAAAAUAAAACCUGGAAUUAAAACCUGCACCUUUUGGAGCCGCGAAUAAUCAAAAAUUGCGCUAAAAACCANAAAUUUAAAAGUUGACAAUUCAAAAUUUUAAAUUAAAUUUUUUAAAAUAACGUAUUGAAAGGGUUUCGUAAGUUAGACGGGUAAAAUUAUCAUUUUACAUAAUAUGCAGUAUUACUGGUUUUCAGUAAUGCAAGAUACACACCCCCUUUCGUUAAUAUUUUUUGUGUAAUUCUGCACCAUGUGUAAUGUUGUAUUAACGACCCGAUUACAUACCGGAUGAGCCAAACACGGUAAUCCUGACAGGAUUGCCUGUAAUCCUGCCAGGAUAACCUGAACCAAACGCACCCUAAAGUCCAUUUAGCGGGCAUGAAAUAAACGGUCAAAAUUGAACGAACUCCUAAAAAUAGAUAACCGAAUCCUUCAAUUUAAGAUCGAAGUUAUUGAUCUUUACUUAGGUAAUGAAUAUACUUUUUUAUUAAAAAUUCAAGCAAUUUCAAUUCUUUUACAUUAUUAAAUUAGCAAUUAUCCUAUACCGGCCGUUAAAAAUUGUCAAUUUUAAGAUAUUUUGAUUAUAACAUAAAUGAUGUUGAAAAAUUAUAAAAUUUAAUUUCUAGAAGUUUUAAAUUCUCUAAAUCAUACUUAAUGGUAUGAAUCGUCGAUUCAGAAUCUCUGUCAUCGAUGCUAAAGAUAAGAUCAAAUUGUUAGUUAGUUUUUUAGUUAGAUUUGUUAUGAGGGAUUUUGUUAAUCAGUUUAGAUUUUUUACUUUAAGUUGUUAAUCAAUUUAGAUUUUUUUUGUUAUCCAUAUGCACUACAAAAGGCUAAAACUAUGUAAAACAAGUGCACCGCGAAUCUACUGAUUAUUCUCCACAUUAAUAAAAUUAUUCACUUCAUUUUAUUGUUUUAUUGAUUACCGCCAUAACAAGU
Molecule: long non-coding RNA, 2308 nt
Filed under: Ananas comosus (pineapple)
Lineage: Eukaryota; Viridiplantae; Streptophyta; Magnoliopsida; Poales; Bromeliaceae
Description: long non-coding RNA (ACOM_LNC033537)
Source: RNAcentral